RNA transcript from Brachypodium distachyon (stiff brome), 2571 nucleotides. It is a transcript of the gene named protein MULTIPOLAR SPINDLE 1, with no coding region annotated. The transcript has 14 exons. Lineage: Eukaryota; Viridiplantae; Streptophyta; Magnoliopsida; Poales; Poaceae. The record is from RefSeq and is a predicted model, not a curated record.
UAUACUACCAGUCACUCAUUUCGUCGAUCACCCAUGGCGCCUCCCGGGACUGUCUCGUCUCCGAACCCGGGUGGCAGCAGCAGCAGCAAGGGCGUCGGCGGCGGGACGGAGCCGAGGUUCACCGGGGUGCGGAAGCUGGCUUCAGGGCGGUACUCGGCGGUCUUCUACCACUCGGUGAACAAGAAGAGCGCGACCGUCCGCGUCGGCACCUACGACACGGCCGAGCAGGCCGCUGGCGCCCGCGCCGCCGCCAAAAUCGCCAUGGCUUCCGCACCCUCCCGCCCGCCUCCGACGCCGCCGCCGCCGCGGCUGCCGUGGAUCUCGACCACCUCGUCGUCGCGGAUAGACUCGCCGUCGCUCAAGGCAGCGCUCGCCAUGGCCCUCGUCCACCACAAGCGCCUCCCGGCCCCCGCGGGCGCCGCCGCCGCCACCUCCGCCGCCGCCUCCCCCAAGUCCCCGCCUCUCGUCCGCUGGAAGCGCAAGGCCAAGGACCGGAAGCGGGAGAUCCUCCGCCUCCGCGAGGAGCUCAAGCUCCUCCAAGAUGGGGCGCGCAGGGAGGAGUUGGAGCCGCCGGUUGCGUCGUGCCGGUGCCACUUCUUCGACGGGUGCGGGAGCCUGCCGCCGCCCGGUGGUGGGGAGCAUUGGGUCGACGAGGUUCUGCGGAGGAGGUUCCUCAGAUUGGCACGGUGGAUGGAGAAACGACGGAGACCGGAUCGAUCUCUUCCCGUCAGUGGUUCGCUGGAGUUCAACAGGGAGGAUGAGAUACAACAGCUUAGCUUGUCGAUCGAUUUCCUAGUGGAGCUAUCAGAUGGCAUUUUUGGCAAGAAAGAAGCUGGAUCAUCAUUUGCUACAUUCUCUCACCAAGCAGUCGACUUCAUUUUGGCUGCACUGAGGAACAUCCUAAUAUCGAAAAGGGAAAAAGAACUGGUUGAGGAGAUAAUCGAUGGUUUAGUGGCACGUUUGAUGAAAAGGAUGUGUACCAUUCCUGAAAAUACUGGUACUUCAGAUUCAGGAUCAGUUGAAUGCUCAGAUGCCCAAUUCUCUGUGCAGCACUUGUUCCGCAAAUUAGGAAAUGAAGAGUUCAUUGGUCAGCGGAUAAUCCUUGCAGUUUCUCAAAAGAUCUCAAAUGUAUCAGAAAGAUUACUUCUCGUAGACCCGUUUGAUGGUUCCUUCCCUGAUAUGCAUGACAACAUGUUCAUCAUGAUUCAAUUAAUUGAGUUCCUCAUAUCCGAUUGCAUGAAAAAUUGGCUAUGUUGCGAGCAAUUUGACAAAAAAAUUUUCGAAGAAUGGGCCAGAUCUAUUCUCAAGACACGCAAAGACUUGGAAGUCCUGGAAAACAUAAAUGGGCUGUAUGUAGUAUACAUUGAGCGAGUGGUCGGGAGGUUGGCAAGGGAGGUUGCUCCUGCUGCUCAUCAGGGGAAGCUGGACCUAGAAGUUUUCUCCAAACUCCUGUGCUGAGAGCGUCCAGCCCUGGAUUUGACAAUCUGGAUGCUUAGCUACAGAAAGAUGGUCCAGCAAACUGGUGUUGUGUUCACUGAAUGGUCGGGAACAAGACAUUGCCAAAAGACCUCCAUGCUCGAUCGAUGUAAGGUCCUUUUCGCGGAGGCCGGGCCGGCCGGCAGGUACGUACGAACCAGCAGCAGAGAUUGACAAGCUAGUUGGCGUGCGCCGCCGUUCCAGUGCCUGAAUCUGGCCUCUUCUUCCCCAAGGGUGAAACAUCUCUGGAUCCCAGGUUUGUUGUACACACGAUGCACUCAUCUCUUGUUGCCAAUUUGGAACGCUCUGGCGAGCUAAACGACGAUGGGCAGGGCACGUUACUGGGUAGGUUAACUCGCUGUCGAGGCUAGCUCUAGCUAGGCAUUGUCUGCAGACUGAUUGCCCUGGGACCAAGGACUUCCUGUAGUGAGAACCUGAAGUAUACGCAAGUGCGUACAACCAGCUGCUUUGGAAAUUAUGAAGAGAACUCUGCUAAGCUAAGCUUAUAAGCAGCAUAUAUGCGGUGGCCGGAUGAUGAAUAUGCAUAUGUCCCCUCUUGACAAGACCACACCUGCCUAGUUUACUUGGCUACAGUCUAUAUGGAUCUGUGUGGGCUUUGAAAAUCUUGGCAAAAGGUGCGUGGGGGCUCUGUCAUGGUAGGAGCAUCCAGGACCCUGGAUCUGCUACAGUUGCUGCUGCCGAAAAAGAAAUCUCUGUUCGUCUAGAACUUAGAUCUGUAUGUACCCUGCAACCUGCUGACUGCUGGGCUUACCAUAAGAAAAAACUGAAGGAAACACACCAAAAAUGAUUGAGCAGAGUGGCAAUGCAAGAGAGCAAGCUGAUCUCUGAAGCAGCGAUAGCAUUAAUUGAGCUAGUGAGAUGCAUCAUGCAUGUUGUCAUAUAUGAUACACAAAUGAUUAAAGUUUUGUUUUCUUGGCAAGGAACUGAUCAGGAUGACGAUCUAUACAUAUAUGCACAGUGUAUGCAUGCAUGCAGAUGCUCUAGUACACACACAUAUAUAUUAUCUGGAGUUGGGUCCUCCAGGUUCUGGCCUGUUCCCACAUAUACAAAUAAUACAAUGCAGAUAUUGAUAUA